CUACGGAAGGUGCGAGCGUUAUCCGGAAUCACUGGGUUUAAAGGGUGCGUAGGCGGCAUGAUAAGUCAGAGGUGAAAGCCCUCAGCUUAACUGAGGAAUUGCCUUUGAUACUGUUGUGCUUGAAAGGGGAUGAGGUGAGCGGAAUGUGGCAUGUAACGGUGAAAUGUGUAGAUAUGCCAUAGAACACCGAUUGCGAAGGCAGCUCACUGGGCCUACAUUGGCGCUGAGGCACGAAAGCGUGGGGAGCGAACAGGAUUAGAAACCCUAGUAGUCC
RNAcentral lists this ribosomal RNA (274 nucleotides) under uncultured bacterium. RNAcentral's name for it is "partial 16S ribosomal RNA". It matches the Rfam family "Bacterial small subunit ribosomal RNA", at positions 523 to 796 of the family's 1533-position model. The record is from RNAcentral.